CCCCAUAUAUGAAGAUCAGAAGAAAAGCUGAAACCAGUUGUAAAAGAGAGUGACACUGUUUGAAAUUUUUCUUUAAAUUCAUCCUUAUGCGAUUACAAAGAAAGGUAACAAUUUCAGAAGAGGUGGGGAGAGGUUCCUACAAAGAGACAAACAAAUGUGCUCGAGGGACAGCCACAGAAAAUGCUCGGUCAGCCCCUGGUAGUUGCUUAGGAGGCGUUGUGGAAGAUUGGAAAGAAAGAGGCGCUGGAGGCGAAUGUAGCUGGGCUUGAAGCCAGCCUCCACUUCAUACCAGAAGUAUGAGCCCAGACAAGUUAUUUAACUUCCUACAGUUGAGUUUACAUAGCUGUGAAAAUGGAUGAGUAAUGCCUGCUUGUGCCGUUGUUGGGGGAGCGGAGCGAGUGUGCUUGGCAGCAGGUGUGAAGUAGGAGCCUAGCGAGCCGGGAGGGUCAUCUCAUUGGUAAAAAAAAGUCACUGGCAAUGGAAUCUGAGGUCAUACUCGAGCACAGAGAGAUUGUAUCUCUCACUCAUUCUUUAUCUACAUGGUGUAUCUCUUCAUCAAAGAAAACUGAAUUGGUCCGCCAAGAUUUGAUCUUCACAUACCAUUGAGGUAAGGAAACUGAGGCUCAGGAGGUAGACACCUCCUGCAAGGUCACAUAGCUGGUGCGCAGCAGAGGUGGAACUUGAACUUCAGGUCGUUCAUGUGGACUUUCAACAGUUAUAAACGAGCCAUACCCUGGGCAACAUCACACUCUGGGAAACUUUUAAACUCCUAUGGCUCCAAACACCAUCUGGGUACAAAUGACUUCAAAAUUUGUAACUCUGCCCUCUGAGAACCAGUCCCCAUCUCCAGCUGCCUUCCUGGACAUUUCCACUUGGCCAUGAGGCCAAAAACUGUAGCUCUACGUGUAAACUCAAGUAAUCAUCUUCCUCCGGGGACCCAGAACCCCCACUCCUCCCAUCACUGCCGUGUUUCUCAGUGGCACAAUAUUCUUUCAGCCUUCUCCAGAUCUGAGUUCUGUUAAGAUCCUCCCCUGAGAUUUUUGCUCAAAAAUAGUUCUUGCUUCAUCUCCCAUUUUCUAGCUUUACCACCUUUAGCCUGUGUCGCCUGGGGCGUAGGUUAUUGCAAAAGCUACGUCUUUCCCGAGCCUCUGCAGUUUAGACACUGCUUACUCAAGUCAGUUCCUUAAAUGUAUGGCCCUCAAUUUUGUCUGUGCAUGGGAAUUACCCAGGAAUGUACAAAGUACUAUCUGAAGUUUGGGGUCUCAUCUUUCUAGCAUUACAGGGUUACUCAUAUCUCUGAGACCAGUGAUGUUGUUCUAAGGCUCUAUCCAGGAAUUAAGGGUGGGGGGUGACUCUAGCCCAACUCCUGUCUUUUGGGAACAGAUGAAGGCAAGCAGACUUGACUGCCAAUAGAGAGUCAGGUAGUGAAAUUCAGCAUCCUAGCACCCCUCUGCCCUGCCACAUCCCCAAAAUUCCCCCUGAAGGGAUCUUCUCUGUUUUCCAGCACCUUACUCAGGUGAAUGAUGCUUCUAUGAGGUCUUUGACUCCUUUGCUAAAUGGCCGUGCUUCAGCCAGUUUCACAGUUUACUUAUUUUCUGACCAGGCUUUCUCAGAAUUCUCUUGAGGAGGAGAGUUGGCUAGCAAAUCUGAUGAAUUAAUUCAGAAUAUCAUGGUCUAAUACGGUGUUUCCAAACGUAUAUUCCAUAUAACACUAGUACUAUAAGGUGCCAUCCAAGAAAAAAGGAUCCCAUGGCCCAAAAAUUUUAGCAAAUCUCUUAAAAAGCACUUUAGCAUAUUAAAGUCUCUGGGAAGGCCAUCAUUAAAAACUUCUGUUUAAUUUAGUUUAUUUGAUUACGAAGUUUUCUAAACUUACUUGACUACUGAACUGUUUUAUUUUCAAGCACCUAUUCCAACAAAACUAAAAUGCCAGGACCUUUAAGUCACAUUAUGAUUUCAGAAACAUUAAAGCAAGGGAAAAAAUGGUCAAGGAUGAUUUCAAGAUACACUGACUGUAACAUUCCAAUUUCUUGGAGACAUUAAAACAUGAAAGAAUGUGCUUCUUAGUCUUAAUUAAAUCCAGUAACUUCCUGUGAGACUAGGAUUUUGUGCAGCACCCAGUGGGGGAAUCCCAGGUCAAGAUAGCUGUGUUUUAACAGGAAUGUUCUGAGAGCUCUCCACUGUAGGAAAUGAGCAAUGUGGUAGACAGGAGGGGAGAAGGGAUACCCAGGAGCUGCCACGGGUCUCUGAAAAGGAAGGGGCAAUGUCCUCAUUGCCAGCAGUGUAAGCUCUGACUAGUCGAGGAAUAUGCUGACACAGUAUUGGAGAGAAGACAGACAGACACUGGGAGAAGGGAAAAGUGUUCAUUCUACCAGGCUUUCAAAUUUUGAGGAAAAGGCUCUGGCUUGCCUGUUGAGAGGUAUCAUGGAAGAGCAAAAGAUUUCUGUAUUCUGUAAUUAGGUGGCAGAGAACAGAUAAUAAGUGUCGAAUGUCAGCUGUGUCUAAUUUUGGCUGUGUAAACUCUACCGAGUUUCUUAACCUACCUGAACUUCGGUGUCUUAAGACAUGAAUAGAAUUACCAUAGUAAUAACAGCAGCUAUCUGAUAGAUUAUACUUGGGCAUCAUGUAAGAGCUGAUUAUGAUGGUCUAACCAUGUAAGGCUUUCUUUUCUCACACUUCUUGGGAAUUCUAGAAGUAGGUAUUGUGGGGAGAUAUAGUGACAUCAGGAGGAUAAUCUCUUCGAUCCUGCUGUGUGAUUCCUCUGUGUGAGGCUUCUGUCCUCAUCAGGGUCUCCUGGUGGUCCCAAGAUGUCUGCUCUGCCUCCCACUGAACUCUCCAUUCCAGGCAGGAAGGUGAAGUAAGGAAAGGAAGAAAGAGAAGCCCCGAAAGCUUGCCCAGAGAUCCCUCGCCAGCUUGCAGCUAGAACCCAUUGGUGAGCAUCAUUCCACACGGUCACUCUUAGCUCUGAGAGAGUUUGAGGAGGCAAGUGUUAGUGGGCCCUUUGCCACCGCGAUUAAAAUUGGGAAUCUGUCAGAGAGAAAGGAGGCAAAUGUGGACACUGGGUGAGUACCUAGGUAUUCAGUGCUGUGAGGGCUAGGAAUGAGAUAACACGCGGGUAUGUGCCCAGCUCUGUGCCUGGAAGAGAGUAGGCAUGCAACAAGUUUCUCCCAAUGCAGAAAAUGGCUGAUCUCUUCCCCCUUCUUCAGUGGGAAAAUAUGUUGUAACUUGUGGUCAUACCACCAGGUGGCAUGGAACCAGGAGGGAGCCAGAAAUUUGGCUAUGAAAGCUUUGGCCCAACACACACAGUGGAGAAGAAUGGACAGGACGUCUUGGGACAGGAAGUGCAGGUGGACACGGGUGGAUGCCGGCUUGUAACCAGGACUGCGGAGCAGUCGUCCAUACAAGGUUCUACUUCAGGGGGAGAAAAAUCUGUGUUUGGAUUAAAGUCCUUGCCUGACUCUCCCGGCUGAUGGGUCUUGUCCCCUGGGCACUCCCAGGGGGAACACUGCACAAAUCACUUGUACCACUUAAUGACCCUACACCUCUUUUAUUGUUAUUUUCAUGUGUUUACAAAACCCAGACUAUGAACUCCUUUAAGACAAGGCUUUGCGCCUUGUUUAUCUUUGCGAGGUUGCCAGGCCUAAUCUUUCCAAUGGUUCAGGACCUUUGGGAGCCUGCCAGGUCAGCCCGGAAGUGUGGAGUGGGCCUGGGGUAAAGGUAGGGCAGCACCCCUCUGGUAGACAACACCUGCCUCCAGGCACUCACUUUUAAAUAACAACCAAGCAAACAUUGGGAAACAAAGGGUUUUAUGGCAACAGCUACUAGUACUGUCAACACACACACACACACACACACACACACACACACACAUGCACCCGCUUGCACUUUAUCUUGUGCCUCCUGAUAAAGUCCACACUCGGGAGGAAUUAUUGUCAAAAAAGCAAACUCGAAUCUGAUCAAACUUCUUGCUCUAACUAGCAGUUUACAGGAAAGAAGGAGAUAGGGGAACAUGUGAAAUGUUACCACAAGAAUGCUCUCAGUGAGAUCCAGACUGUGGGAAACGCUAGUGGACCAAAGGACCCUGUUCUUUCAACAAAUCAAUUGUGAGGGGAAGAAAACAUGUGAAGGACAAACCUAUACCUUAAAAGAGACCAAUUGCCAUAUAUGCUUUAUUUGGUUCCUUAUUCAAGCAAACUAUAAAAAAAUAUUUGAGACAGUGAGAGAAAUUUGAACUGACUUGAUUAGGGAAUUAUUGUUUAAGGUGCAAUAAUGAUAUUGUGGUUCAGUUUUUGAAAGGAUCCUUAUCUUUUAGAGAUGCAUACUGACAUAAUUUAGAGAUAAAAUGAUACUAGAGAUUUGCUUCAGGAUAACACAGUCUGUAUAGAGGGGAGUGGACAAGAUGGGGGUAAGACUCACUAAAGACAAAUGGCUGUGGAAGCUGGGCAACAAGUGCAGAGAAGGUCUUUGAAUCACCUCUGAUUUUUGCUUAUGUUUGAAAUGUUCAUAAUAAUAUAAUAAGGGGAAAUCAGUGGGCCAGCCAAACCUAACCCAUGGCACAUGGAGAAGAGUUUACCAUGCAUCUGAUGGAAUUCAAGCAUGUGGACCUCUCACUACACAGGCCUCUUCCAAGAGAAUUUUGUAUUCAUGAUUUUUCUUCAAAAGGGCUCCCCUAGUUUCAGGCAUCACAAAAGUUAGAUCUACUCCUAAUGGCAGGCAGCCAGCUGACUCCCAUUUUAGGCAUUGAGUAAGUGUUCACCAGUAUAAUUUUUAAAAACACUUCUUUUUAGAUUUAUUUAUUUAUUUGAAAGAG
Molecule: long non-coding RNA, 4807 nt
Organism: Mustela erminea (ermine)
Lineage: Eukaryota; Metazoa; Chordata; Mammalia; Carnivora; Mustelidae
Exons: 3
Source: RefSeq, a predicted model, not a curated record